This 73-nucleotide transfer RNA is filed under the name Camelus bactrianus (Bactrian camel). It matches the Rfam family "tRNA". Rfam says of the family: Transfer RNA (tRNA) molecules are approximately 80 nucleotides in length. Their secondary structure includes four short double-helical elements and three loops (D, anti-codon, and T loops). RNAcentral also lists the same sequence under 2 other names. Lineage: Eukaryota; Metazoa; Chordata; Mammalia; Artiodactyla; Camelidae. The record is from Rfam by way of RNAcentral.
GAGGGUAUAGCUCAAGUGGUAGAGCACAUGCUCAGCAUGCACAAGGUCUUGGGUUCAAUCCCCAGUACCUCCC